Schistosoma mansoni is the source of this 45-nucleotide non-coding RNA. NCBI's taxonomy places the organism in Eukaryota, Metazoa, Platyhelminthes, Trematoda, Strigeidida, Schistosomatidae. The record is from Rfam.
AUCUAGCUGACGAGUCUCAAAUAGGACGAAACGCGCGUCCUGGAU